UACAUAGGGGGCAAGCGUUAUCCGGAAUUAUUGGGUGUAAAGGGUGCGUAGACGGGAAUUUAAGUUAGUUGUGAAAUCCCUCGGCUCAACUGAGGAACUGCAACUAAAACUGGAUUUCUUGAGUGCGGGAGAGGAAAGUGGAAUUCCUAGUGUAGCGGUGAAAUGCGUAGAUAUUAGGAGGAACACCAGUGGCGAAGGCGACUUUCUGGACCGUAACUGACGUUGAGGCACGAAAGUGUGGGGAGCAAACAGG
RNAcentral lists this ribosomal RNA (253 nucleotides) under uncultured bacterium. RNAcentral describes it as "partial 16S ribosomal RNA". It matches the Rfam family "Bacterial small subunit ribosomal RNA", at positions 524 to 776 of the family's 1533-position model. The record is from RNAcentral.